RNAcentral lists this ribosomal RNA (465 nucleotides) under uncultured bacterium. RNAcentral describes it as "partial 16S ribosomal RNA". It matches the Rfam family "Bacterial small subunit ribosomal RNA", at positions 28 to 507 of the family's 1533-position model. The record is from RNAcentral.
GACGAACGCUGGCGGCGUGCUUAACACAUGCAAGUCGAACGGAAAGGCCCUGCUUGCAGGGUACUCGAGUGGCGAACGGGUGAGUAGCACGUGGGUGAUCUGCCCUGCACUUCGGGAUAAGCCUGGGAAACUGGGUCUAAUACCGGAUAGGAGCCAUUUUUAGUGUGAUGGUUGGAAAGUUUUUUUGGUGUGGGAUGAGCUCGCGGCCUAUCAGCUUGUUGGUGGGGUAAGGGCCUACCAAGGAGGGGACGGGUAGCCGGCCUGGGAGGGUGGACGGCCACAUUGGGACUGGGAUUCGGCCCAGACUCCUAAGGGAGGCAGCAGGGGGGAAUAUUGCAAAAUGGGCGCAAGCCUGAUGCAGCGACGCCGGGUGGGGGAUGACGGGCUUCGGGUUGUAAACUCGUUUCGCUAGGGACGAAGCUUUUUGUGACGGUACCUAGAUAAGAAGCACCGGCUAACUACGUG